UCCUGGGUGGCUCAGUUGGUUGAGCAUUAAACUCUUGAUUUCAACCUCACGGUGUGGGAUCAAGCCCCACAUCAGGCU
Molecule: transfer RNA, 78 nt
Filed under: Felis catus (domestic cat)
Lineage: Eukaryota; Metazoa; Chordata; Mammalia; Carnivora; Felidae
Also listed under: 5 other names
Rfam family: tRNA
About the family: Transfer RNA (tRNA) molecules are approximately 80 nucleotides in length. Their secondary structure includes four short double-helical elements and three loops (D, anti-codon, and T loops). Further hydrogen bonds mediate the characteristic L-shaped molecular structure. tRNAs have two regions of fundamental functional importance: the anti-codon, which is responsible for specific mRNA codon recognition, and the 3' end, to which the tRNAs corresponding amino acid is attached (by aminoacyl-tRNA synthetases). tRNAs cope with the degeneracy of the genetic code in two manners: having more than one tRNA (with a specific anti-codon) for a particular amino acid; and 'wobble' base-pairing, i.e. permitting non-standard base-pairing at the 3rd anti-codon position.
Source: Rfam by way of RNAcentral